RNAcentral lists this ribosomal RNA (440 nucleotides) under uncultured bacterium. RNAcentral describes it as "bacterial SSU rRNA". It matches the Rfam family "Bacterial small subunit ribosomal RNA", at positions 338 to 795 of the family's 1533-position model. The record is from RNAcentral.
CCUACGGGUGGCAGCAGUGGGGAAUAUUGCACAAUGGGGGAAACCCUGAUGCAGCAACGCCGCGUGGAGGAUGACACAUUUCGGUGCGUAAACUCCUUUUAUAUAGGAAGAUAAUGACGGUACUAUAUGAAUAAGCGCCGGCUAACUCCGUGCCAGCAGCCGCGGUAAUACGGAGGGCGCAAGCGUUACUCGGAAUCACUGGGCGUAAAGAGCGUGUAGGCGGAUAAAUAAGUCAGAAGUGAAAUCCAAUAGCUCAACUAUUGAACUGCUUUUGAAACUGUUUAUCUAGAGUAUGGGAGAGGUAGAUGGAAUUUCUGGUGUAGGGGUAAAAUCCGUAGAGAUCAGAAGGAAUACCGAUUGCGAAGGCGAUCUACUGGAACAUAACUGACGCUGAGACGCGAAAGCGUGGGGAGCAAACAGGAUUAGAUACCCGAGUAGUC